GGGUGCGAUCCAACCAGCACUAAUGGAUCCGAUCCCAUCAGAACCUUCAGUUAAGCCUGCUUGGGCGAAAGUAGUUCUAGGAUGGGUGACCUCCUGGGAAGUCCUCGUGUUGCACCCA
Molecule: ribosomal RNA, 118 nt
Filed under: Gossypium hirsutum (cotton)
Lineage: Eukaryota; Viridiplantae; Streptophyta; Magnoliopsida; Malvales; Malvaceae
Source: RNAcentral